This 516-nucleotide ribosomal RNA is filed under the name uncultured bacterium. RNAcentral describes it as "bacterial SSU rRNA". It matches the Rfam family "Bacterial small subunit ribosomal RNA", at positions 367 to 896 of the family's 1533-position model. The record is from RNAcentral.
CACAAUGGGCGCAAGCCUGAUGCAGCGACGCCGCGUGAGCGAAGAAGGCCUUCGGGUCGUAAAACUCUUUUCUGCGUGACGAGAAGGGACGGUAGCGCAGGAAGAAGUCUCGGCUAACUACGUGCCAGCAGCCGCGGUAAAACGUAGGAGACAAACGUUAUCCGGAGUUACUGGGCGUAAAGGGCGUGCAGGUGGUCAUUUAAGUUCGGCGUGAAAGCGCCUGGCUAAACCGGGCGAGGUCGUCGGAGACUGGAUGGCUAGAGGGUGAUAGAGGCGGGUGGAAUUCCGGGUGUAGUGGUGAAAUGCGUAGAGAUCCGGAGGAACACCAGUGGCGAAGGCGACCCGCUGGGUCACACCUGACACUGAGACGCGACAGCAUGGGGAGCGAACGGGAUUAGAAACCCCGGUAGUCCAUGCCGUAAACGAUGCCAACUCGAUGUCUGGGAUGGGAAACUGUCCUGGGUAUCUCAGCCAACGCGGUAAGUUGGCCGCCUGGGGAGUACGGUCGCAAGGCUA